This 95-nucleotide non-coding RNA is filed under the name Olea europaea subsp. europaea. The record is from RNAcentral. Lineage: Eukaryota; Viridiplantae; Streptophyta; Magnoliopsida; Lamiales; Oleaceae.
GAAAGUCGUAUGCAAUGAAAAGUGCAAGUACGACUUGGGAAGGGGAUUUUCCUUAUUUAUUUAAGGGUAAUUAGCACAAAACAUCCCUACUUUUC